This 267-nucleotide ribosomal RNA is filed under the name uncultured bacterium. RNAcentral describes it as "partial 16S ribosomal RNA". It matches the Rfam family "Bacterial small subunit ribosomal RNA", at positions 94 to 354 of the family's 1533-position model. The record is from RNAcentral.
AGUGGCGAACGGGUGAGUAACACGUGGGCAACCUGCCCAAAAGAGGGGGAGUAACACUUGGAAACAGGUGCUAAUACCGCAUAACCAUAGUUACCGCAUGGUAACUAUGUAAAAGGUGGCUAUGCUACCGCUUUUGGAUGGGCCCGCGGCGCAUUAGCUAGUUGGUGGGGUAAAGGCUUACCAAGGCAAUGAUGCGUAGCCGAACUGAGAGGUUGAUCGGCCACAUUGGGACUGAGACACGGCCCAAACUCCUACGGGAGGCAGCAG